Molecule: ribosomal RNA, 238 nt
Filed under: uncultured bacterium
Lineage: Bacteria
Description: partial 16S ribosomal RNA
Rfam family: Bacterial small subunit ribosomal RNA
Source: RNAcentral
GAUCUGGCUCAGGAUGAACGCUAGCGACAGGCUUAACACAUGCAAGUCGAGGGGCAGCACAGGGUAGCAAUACUUGGGUGGCGACCGGCGCACGGGUGAGUAACGCGUAUGCAACUUACCUAUCAGAGGGGGAUAGCCCGGCGAAAGUCGGAUUAAUACCCCAUGAAACAGGGGUCCCGCAUGGGAAUAUUUGUUAAAGAUUCAUCGCUGAUAGAUAGGCAUGCGUUCCAUUAGGCAG